Molecule: RNA transcript, 2047 nt
Organism: Populus trichocarpa (black cottonwood)
Lineage: Eukaryota; Viridiplantae; Streptophyta; Magnoliopsida; Malpighiales; Salicaceae
Gene name: F-box protein CPR1
Exons: 5
Source: RefSeq, a predicted model, not a curated record
CAGAUAUUUAACUUCCAACAACGUUAUCUCUCCUUCACACUUUCUAUGACAAAAUUCCACAGAACGCGAAGACCUAAGCUAACAGUGACCUUCGAGUUCUCAUCAAAACCAUGUCUGGUCUUCCUCUUGAGAUGAUAGCAGAAAUCCUCUGCAGAUUACCAGCAAAGGAACUUCUUUGUUGCAGGUCUGUAUCUAAACCAUGGUGUGCUUUAAUUGAUGGUCCAAACUUCGUUAAAUUACAUUUGAAGCACUCUAUGGACACAAGUUCCAAUCUUUACAUCAUCCUUAGAACUACUUCACAUGUUCACUACAUGGAUUUUGAGCAAAAUUUAGUCUUAAAUGACUGUGUUACUCUGAAAGAGUUGAAUCAUCCUUUGAUGUGUUAUAAUCAUGGGAUUAAAGUUUUAGGUUCUGUUAAUGGGUUGCUUUGCAUUUCUAAUGUUGUUGAUGAUAUUGCUGUGUGGAACCCAUCAACUAGAAAGCAUCGUGUGGUGCCCUUUUUGCCUAUUGAGCUGAAAAGGUAUUUUGGGACCAAGUCUUGUAGUGUUUAUGUGUUUGGAUUUGGGUAUGAUAGUGUUAGGGAUGAUUAUAAGCUUGUUAGGAUUGCGCAAUUUGGAGGUGGGGGGAAGAGGAGUUUUGAGUCUGAGGUUAAGGUAUAUAGUUUGAGGAAACAAUCGUGGAGGAGGAUUGGUGAUAUGCCUUAUUGUGUUCACUAUCCUGGUGCAAAUGGGGUUUUCGCUAAUGGUGCUUUACAUUGGGUUGUGGGUGAGAAUCCUGAAUCGAAUGUGGCAAAUAUAGUUGUUGCAUUGGAUUUAGGAGUCGAGGAUUAUAGGGAGGUGCUGCAACCUGAGUAUAAGGAUAAGAAUUUUUAUAUUGAUUUGGGGGUUUUGAGAGGAUGCCUGUGUUUUCUUGCAAAUUUUCUAGGCGAACGUGUUGAUGUGUGGAUGAUGAAAGAGUACGGGGUAAAGGAGUCCUGGACUAAACUGUUUUCAGUUGCACAGUAUGAGGUCAUUGGGUUUCUUAGAUCUCUUAAGCCUUUAGCUUAUUCAAAGAGUGGUGAUGAAGUUCUCAUCGAACACGACAAUUUGGACCUUUGCUGGUAUGAUCUGAAGAGGAAACAAGUAAAGAAUAGGAUUCCUGGUAUACCAUAUUCCUUUGAAGCUGAUACUUUUGUUGAAAGCCUUAUUUCUGUCAGUCCGAAUAGGCAUCUUGAUGGAAGGACACAGGAUGAAGAUGAGGACUCAAAGGAUAGGAAUAAGAGGGAUGAUUUCUUGUCCGAGGGGUUCAAAUUGGUCUUAUAAUUCACCAGAAGAAACAGCAGAGAAAACAUGGAAAAGAGGGCUGAUACUGGCGGAUGGAGAUUUAAUUGAGCAUAUGAGAAAUUUUGCAGAUGAAGCAAAGAAUGGAUAAAAACUAUGCUCAUUAUAUAUGUCAUGCACUCACAUGCGUCUUUCUUAAUGAAAAGGUACUUGGUCAGAAGAUGGAGCACUUAACAGUUGUAGUUAGCAACCUAGUAUUUGAGUGGUUUGGCUGGUGAGUGAUGUGGCAUGACUAGUUCAUCAAUACCUCCAUCUGAACCAGAAGUUUAGGGAAAGAUGGGCUGAUAUAUUUGGUUGAACGUGCUUGGGUUGCAAAAACGCAAUUUGGUUGAGAGUUAUGAGCCAUGUCUAUGUACAUUUAGCCAAUGCUUGCUCUUAGUGUUAAACCUAUUAGUGCCAAUUUUUUUUAAAAUAAAAAUAAAAAUCAGGCUUCAUAAAUGUAUGAUAAAGCUACCAUGCUAGAAAGGAUUGUGAAGACAGAGAUUUACUGUAAAUAUCAGAUCUCGUGAGUUGAUUGCCUGAAAGUAAUGUAAUUUCUUGAUCAAGCCUCAAGAUGUUGAAGACUUUUCUAUCUAGUCAGUAUGGUCGGUCAUAUGUUUUUGUAAGCUUGCUCAACUUUGUGAAGUUGGAUGGCUUUAUUGUAUUGUAUGGAUGAAAUCUCUGAGUUGUAAAACAUAAUCUACGAUUAAACUUCAACUGAGGAUUGAUGUUGGAGAAUUUACUAUCUA